This is a long non-coding RNA of Sceloporus undulatus (fence lizard), 453 nucleotides long. RefSeq lists it as uncharacterized. The record is from RefSeq and is a predicted model, not a curated record. The transcript has 4 exons. NCBI's taxonomy places the organism in Eukaryota, Metazoa, Chordata, Lepidosauria, Squamata, Phrynosomatidae.
AACUUCUAGUCAAUAAUUGUUUUUUGUUUCCUUCAUGUGUAAUUUUGAAAAUUAUGAUUCCCUGAAUGUCACUUCUCUCUAGAAGCUAAACUCAAGGACAGUUACUGAUCUCUGCACCAUAAAAUUAUGGCUACCUAUCUGACACCAUGAGAUAAGCUACCCUUUUACAGAUAAACAAGCUGGAGGCUUGCCUCAGGCAAGAAGGGUGAAUGGACGAUAAUGGGAUUCAGCAGAAGGAAAAUGAGCACUGGAUGAAAGAAGGCAGCAUUACUUGGAGCUGUAAGAAAGGAGCAUUCCAUGCUAAACAAGAAGGUGCUGAGCAAAAAUGGUCGAAUUCACACCACCCGUCUCCUCUUCUGAAGGCCAAACUCUAUGUGGUACUGAAGAUCCAUGUAGACAAGCCCUCUCUUCAUCCACCAUCUUGAGAGAGAGAGAGGCAGGCUAGCUCCAACA